This is a long non-coding RNA of Oncorhynchus keta (chum salmon), 382 nucleotides long. RefSeq lists it as uncharacterized. Lineage: Eukaryota; Metazoa; Chordata; Actinopteri; Salmoniformes; Salmonidae. The transcript has 3 exons. The record is from RefSeq and is a predicted model, not a curated record.
GUCCUACUCCCUAUAGCUAGAGACAGGUCAGUUUAAUGUAAUUGAGAGCCCUGUCCUGUUCCCUAUAGCUAGAGGCAGGUCAGCUGAUUGUAAUUGAGAGCCCUGUCCUGUUCCCUAUAGCUGGAGACAGGUCAGUUUAAUGUAAUUGAGAGCCCUGUCCUGUUCCCUAUAGCUAGAGACAGGUCAGCUGAUUGUAAUUGAGAGCCCUGUCCUGUUCCCUAUAGCUAGAGGCAGGUCAGCUGAUUGUAAUUGAGAGCCCUGUCCUGUUCCCUAUAGCUAGAGACAGGUCAGUUUAAUGUAAUUGAGAGCCCUGUCCUGUUCCCUAUAGCUAGAGGCAGGUCAGCUGAUUGUAAUUGAGAGCCCUGUCCUGUUCCCUAUAGCU